RNAcentral lists this long non-coding RNA (1178 nucleotides) under Chinchilla lanigera (long-tailed chinchilla). RNAcentral's name for it is "lncRNA (ENSCLAG00000023326.1)". Lineage: Eukaryota; Metazoa; Chordata; Mammalia; Rodentia; Chinchillidae. The record is from RNAcentral.
GCACUUUGCCACACAGGUGGCCCCUCCAGCCCCCUGCCUUGCCCAUGUCCCCACCCCUCGCCCAUGUGUCCCCCUCCUGCUGAGGUUCCUGAGGCCACCACAGCCCCCCGCAGCCUGGCUUCCUUGGUCACCAGGAUGUGACCCCCUGCAGUUCCCCGGAGGCCGUCAGGGGCUCCUGGUCACCCAGCCGUGCUAUACUCUGCUCCCUCUCUGCCCACUGUGUUCCUUCUCUGGGUAGUGGUCUCUUAGUCACAACUGUGCUGCUGUGACAUUGGCUGGAGCUGCACCACAGCUCCCACGCCCGCCUGCCCCAGGGGCCCAGCCAGACGCAGUGCAUGCGGCUGGUCUGUGGGCAGCCAGAGGCAGGGUCAGGUGCCCACCCUGCGCCAGACCUGGGGAGGUGGCCGUGGUGACCCUGCAGGCCGCUGGCCUUUCAGCACUGUCCCCCAGCUGUGUGCUGCCCUGUUGGGCUGUUUAACAUACCGUUUAUCAUCUGAAUGUGUUUAUUUCUUAUCUGUCCACCUGCAGUCUAGAGCUCUUGGCCCUAAACGUCUCUAAUAAAGCGCUGAGGUCACCAACACUUGCCUCGCAGCGGGUACAGUUCUACCAGCUUCACCAAAAGCCCACACCAUGAGGCUGGCCUGUGGCACCUGCCCUCGACAGAUGACAAAGUACCCUCACACCAGCACUGCUAUGGCACAGAUGACAAACCAAGGCCGAGAGCGAUCAAGAUUCUUGCCCGGGAAGCCGCACCUGCUGUCAUCUAUCAGGCGUCUAACCAUGCCGGGGGCUGGUGCAGUUUAAGACAAAGAUGUCCACUGUGUGGGCGAGGAAACUGAGGCACAGAGGGACAGAGGUAGCCCCAGGGACAGCAGCACCUGACUCCCGAGUCUAAGCUCUGUCCAAGCCACUGGCUGGCAGGGACUCCAGCCCCAUCCUUGCCCGCAAGUCACCCACACCCUCUGCUGCUAGGAAAGGAAGCUAUGUACCCUGCCCUCUCAGAAGGACAUCUGUGCACCCUCAUCGUGCAACGAGGGCGGUGCUGAAAAUCCCACCAUCAGAACGAAACUUAAUCAAGUGCCCAGAAGCACUUUCCUGGGCAGACCACACUGCUGGCCCCAGGUUGGACUGCCGAGCCUUGAAGGUGACAGAUCUGACAGCUACCUGCUCAUUUUCAG